UUAGAAUGAGUCAAGGAAAUCCUAUGUUAUCCAAUCGUCUGUGCUCACGAAUCGGCUCUUUGAAAGAAGAAGCGAUUGUCGGAAUAACCGAAAGAAAAUAAGGAAAGAGUCUGCGCCGAAAAAUGGCCAGUCCCUCCAUUGGCGAGUCCAGUCAACUAAGAUAAAGUCCAGGAGCUACUCCAGUAAAGUAAACUCGGAGGGAAGGCAGGGCGGUGAAGGGACAAGACAAGCCCUUGCUUACUAUCUUUACGCUACGAUUUGGCAUAUAGCACAUU
Molecule: long non-coding RNA, 275 nt
Filed under: Musa acuminata (dwarf banana)
Lineage: Eukaryota; Viridiplantae; Streptophyta; Magnoliopsida; Zingiberales; Musaceae
Description: long non-coding RNA (MACU_LNC011525)
Source: RNAcentral